AUGUCCCGAUGCGUGUGGGCCUUGGCCGAUGAAACACUUGUUUCCCACAUGUCAGAUAACUUGGAGGCUAAUGCAAGGAUCUGGCUGUUUGAGUUGCACAAGACGUUGGACCAUGCUAAUUUCACGAGGAUGGUCAUUAUCCCGUGGUCCAUUUGGUAUGCUAGGCAGAAGGCCAUGUAUGAAUCAAUCUUUCAGAGUCCGCAACAGACUACUUCGUUUGUCAACAACUACAUCGAUGAGCUAGGUCACCUGAAUGACACGAGGGAGCAUGAAAUAACACGUACUAUUACACCUGCACAACCGAAGCGGUGGUUACCACCCCGAAGUGGCAUUGUGAAGGUUAACAUGGAUGGAGCAGUAGUGAGAUCCCGGCGCGGAGGAGCGGUCGCGGCAGUAUGCCGAAACCAGGAAGGCCAAUAUCUGGGUUCAUCGACGGUUAUUUUUCAAGGAAUCAACGAUCCUUUGACUUUGGAGACUUAUGCUUGCCGUGAAGCCUUUGGAGACUUAUGCUUGGCAUUGGCUGAUGAUCUUGUGAUGCAGAAUAUUUGGGUGGCCUCGGACUGUCAAGAGGUAGUGAAUGAUAUCACCAGGGGGACAGGAGGUCCCAGUGUUGCGUUGCGCCAUACCACCGGCAAUUGCAAGCACGACUGCUUGGGUCCGCCGCCUCAUCCGUGCUCGACUGCAAGCACCCACGAGGCACGUGCUUUGCCUCCUCCAGAUCCACGAAGUGAGGCAGAAAGAAAUAUGACAUCGAUGAUUCAAGGAUGCAUGUUCAUCUCCCCCCAACCUAUAAGGCUAGAUAUUGUUACAGAUCUAACCAGGAUAACUACACUUCCAUGGAACUGUACUUCUCGCCAUGUUGUUUUCAGGCAAGACAUUGUUACAGAUCCAACAGACAUUGAAUUACCAUUUUGUUCUCCACAUGUUCCCUAUGUGCCUUAUGAUUCACAUUGCAGCCAAAGCGUUGGAGUUUCCCAUAUUUUUGGUACAUGCGGUGGAAGUGAUCUUAGCGACUCUCAGCUCAGCAAGCAGCGUGGUUUCCGCAUGAUAGGACUGAACGUCUCUUGGCCAUUGUACGAUCUGGCUAGUGACCGUACACGUCCUCCCAACCCUGCACGUAUCCCCCUCUCCGAGAUACUACGUGAUCCGUAUGCUACGUCUGCGGGGUUCGUGGGUACAGCGAACCUCAUGCGAAGAAGGGCACUGCCUCUUCGGAAUGAGAAAGGUCAGGACACAUCAACGGGAGGCAAUCGACCAAGACGCACGCGAAACCAGCUGCCCGCAGAUCUGAUGUGCAGGCAGCACAUGUGGGCGCCAAUCCACGAUACGGGUCGCCGGCCGGGACAGCAAACUCCGAAGAGGCCGGUCGAUGCAGCAAAUUACGGUAGAGUAGAAAACGACUCGGGUGUAGUGGUGGACUUCACGCGAGGUUACUUUGGUGUGGCGGUGAGACAGGGGAACCGUGCCUGUGCAGCUUACCGGCAGUCUCGUCACAGCCCGCCGACCCGACGGUGGGACACAAACCCUAAACAGACACAAAAGACAUCUAAAACCAAAGGAGGAGCUGUCCCACCGGCAGGGGCGAGAUCCACCAUGCCUCUAUGGCCUAAAGCCAUAGGAGAUGAGGAAGAUCUGCAGCACCACUCGCUGGAGGCGAGAGACCCUAGUCGCCCUUGGACUUGCGAGAGCAUAGGUAAACGGGGUGUCGUCUGCGGCCACGUCAGACUUGUUGGCCAAGCUGGCGGGGCUCUAAUCGGCCAUUGUACUCUUGCUAAUACCCCCGUCGUUGCGUGA
Molecule: ribosomal RNA, 1794 nt
Filed under: Triticum aestivum (bread wheat)
Lineage: Eukaryota; Viridiplantae; Streptophyta; Magnoliopsida; Poales; Poaceae
Description: partial small subunit ribosomal RNA
Source: RNAcentral